NNNNCCGUUCCCACGGCUCUCGGCCCCGCCCCCACUCGUCACAAUAUUAUUUUACACAUUAAUUUAAAUCUGUUUAAUAAACUGUUGCCUAUUCUUUUGUUGCAGAAGAGUCUUCAGUAUCAACACCUACUGAGCCUUUUGGUCACAUCAUUUUAAGGGAGAAGCUGUCUACAACAUAUCACCAAGAAAAUGACUGUAAUCUCAUUGGGCCCCCAGAUGAGAUCUCAACAAAUGGAUCUAAUUCACUGUAUUUUUCAUGUGCUGAAUCCUCUGCUACUUCAUUAACAACUGUUAUGGAAUCACAGGUCUCUGUAAUAUCAGAUCAUAGAGAAAGCUCAUUAGAAAAAUGUGAGUCUAAAGUGCAAGAGGGCAAUCAAUCCUUGUCACUUUCAACUUGCUCUGGAACUCAAGUCCAAGCUGAGCCAGAAAUGCCAUCCAACCUAGCCAGGUUUCCAUUGGACAAGCAUGCUGACAUUGUUCUGCAGUCUGUUCAGGAGAACCAUUCAUAUGCUGUGGACAAAUCCAUUGCAAUAAAUAGGACGGAAGAAAGACAGACAUUGCAAGAAGAGAAACCUGCUUUUGUGAGCAAUUCUGGAAUAAGUAGUGAACUUUUUAUUGACUCACUAUUCAUUAAACAUUUAGAAGAAGAGAUUCACAGUGUAGAGAAGAAAAGGGACUUAAUUGUACAGCACUGUGAAAGCAUUUUGUCCAUUGAUGAUAAACAAGAUGAAAUGCAUACAGGACAUUUGAAUUCCAAGCAGGCCCGGGCUGAUACUGAAGCCACUAGCAUGGAGGAAAUAACACCUGUAGUGUCCUCUGUUAGUGAAGUAGGUGCAUAUCCCCCAUUACAGUCAGCAGCUUCCUCGAAAGUCAUCUCUGAAGGAUCAGAGCAUUCAUACGCUUUAGCCCAGUUGCAGGAAGAUGCAACUAGCCCUACACAACUGACACCUCUGCUUGGUUCAUGUGGCAAGUGUAGUCCACUGGAUGUUAAAUCCAAAGAGGACCCGAGCAAUAAUUCAAAGACUUUGAGCCCACCCUCUACACCACCUGUAGGUGGACCUUCUUUGGAUGAGCUUCCCAGGUUUACUAGCCAAAGGCCUUCCAAUCUACCUUCUGCCACAGGAACGAGAACUCCCUUAACCAACUGGAAUCCAUCAUCUCCAGCCACUCAAAGGUAGUCUGCGAAGCAUGUCACAAACCAAACUGUAGUU
Molecule: long non-coding RNA, 1211 nt
Filed under: Sinocyclocheilus grahami
Lineage: Eukaryota; Metazoa; Chordata; Actinopteri; Cypriniformes; Cyprinidae
Description: lncRNA (ENSSGRG00000011403.1)
Source: RNAcentral